UACAGAGGUCUCAAGCGUUGUUCGGAUUCAUUGGGCGUAAAGGGUGCGUAGGCGGCGCGGUAAGUCGGGUGUGAAAUCUCGGAGCUUAACUCCGAAACUGCAUUCGAUACUGCCGUGCUUGAGGACUGUAGAGGAGAUCGGAAUUCACGGUGUAGCAGUGAAAUGCGUAGAUAUCGUGAGGAAGACCAGUUGCGAAGGCGGAUCUCUGGGCAGUUCCUGACACUGAGGCACGAAGGCCAGGGGAGCAAACGGG
Molecule: ribosomal RNA, 253 nt
Filed under: uncultured bacterium
Lineage: Bacteria
Description: partial 16S ribosomal RNA
Rfam family: Bacterial small subunit ribosomal RNA
Source: RNAcentral